GAUUAGCGGCGGACGGGUGAGUAACACGUGAGUAACCUGCCUUUUACACAGGGAUAGCCUCGGGAAACCGGGAUUAAAACCUGAUGAAACUAUCAAAUCACAUGAUUAAGAAAGUUAAAACUCCGGUGGUAAAAGAUGGACUCGCGUCCCAUUAGCUAGUUGGUGAAGGUAACGGCCCACCAAGGCAACGAUGGGUAGCCGGCCUGAGAGGGUGAACGGCCACAUUGGAACUGAGAAACGGUCCAAACUCC
This 251-nucleotide ribosomal RNA is filed under the name uncultured Eubacteriales bacterium. RNAcentral describes it as "uncultured Clostridiales bacterium partial 16S ribosomal RNA". It matches the Rfam family "Bacterial small subunit ribosomal RNA", at positions 90 to 339 of the family's 1533-position model. The record is from RNAcentral. Lineage: Bacteria; Bacillati; Bacillota; Clostridia; Eubacteriales.